CCUACGGGUGGCAGCAGUAGGGAAUAUUGCUCAAUGGGGGAAACCCUGAAGCAGCAACGCCGCGUGGAGGAUGAAGGUUUUCGGAUUGUAAACUCCUUUUGUUAGAGAAGAUAAUGACGGUAUCUAACGAAUAAGCACAGGCUAACGCCGUGACAGCAGCAGCGGGAAUACGGAGGGUGCAAGCGUUACUCGGAAUCACUGGGCGUAAAGAGCGCGGAGGAGGGAUAGCAAGUCCGAUGUGAAAUCCUAUGGCUUAACCAUAGAACUGCAUUUGAAACUGUUAUGCUAGAGUAUGGGAGAGGUAGGUGGAAUUCUUGGUGUAGGGGUAAAAUCCUUAGAGAUCAAGUGGAAUACUCAUUGCGAAGGCGACCUGCUAGAACAUAACUGACGCUGAUGCGCGAAAGCGUGGGGAGCAAACAGGAUUAGAUACCCGUGUAGUC
RNAcentral lists this ribosomal RNA (440 nucleotides) under uncultured bacterium. RNAcentral describes it as "partial 16S ribosomal RNA". It matches the Rfam family "Bacterial small subunit ribosomal RNA", at positions 338 to 795 of the family's 1533-position model. The record is from RNAcentral.